GCUCAGAUCAAGCAAGACUGAUAUCAUGUGGUUUGACUGGAAGAAGACAGCUAGGAGGAUGCAGCAGGUUCUAAUGUUACUGAUGAACUGCUGCAUCAACAGCGCUGUCCUAGGACAGCCCAGCAAAGGUCCUAAAACAAGAUAAAAAUGAAAGUGUAUCUUUCCAUUUCCACUUGCCUACAGAGCAAUCUACUGAAUUGUUCAUGAACUGAGGGCAGAAAUUCCAG
Molecule: long non-coding RNA, 227 nt
Filed under: Manacus vitellinus (golden-collared manakin)
Lineage: Eukaryota; Metazoa; Chordata; Aves; Passeriformes; Pipridae
Description: lncRNA (ENSMVIG00005019867.1)
Source: RNAcentral